AUACUUGCUUAGACAGUACACUUAGUAAUAUUGGAAUGACACAGAGAAGAUCACCCUUGCCCCUGCGCAAGAAUGACCCCAAAUGUAAAGCACUACCACCCACCCCA
Small nuclear RNA from Mastomys coucha (southern multimammate mouse), 107 nucleotides. NCBI's taxonomy places the organism in Eukaryota, Metazoa, Chordata, Mammalia, Rodentia, Muridae. The record is from RefSeq and is a predicted model, not a curated record.